Molecule: non-coding RNA, 207 nt
Filed under: Pseudozobellia thermophila
Lineage: Bacteria; Pseudomonadati; Bacteroidota; Flavobacteriia; Flavobacteriales; Flavobacteriaceae
Source: RNAcentral
UCUUAUCAAAACGAUAAGGGUUUCCGACACGUGUCGGGAUUAAAAGGGAAUCGUGUGUAAAUCACGAGCUGACGCGCAACUGUAAGUUCGAUUCCGUUUUUGGAAUAGUACGUUUUUGCCCUACGCGCCAUUGUUCUAUUAAAAAAGAAUGAGAAGGCCGGCAAAGAUCGAACAAGCCAGGAUACCUGCCCAUAUCGUCCCUACUUU